CCUUAGCCCUGAUGGUAGCGGUAUCCUUUUACUUGUUCUUUUCAACAAGUAAAAGAUAUAGCGGACAGCAGGAAAAAGC
RNAcentral lists this small RNA (79 nucleotides) under Flavobacterium degerlachei. Its description in RNAcentral is "Flavo-1 RNA". It matches the Rfam family "Flavo-1 RNA". Lineage: Bacteria; Pseudomonadati; Bacteroidota; Flavobacteriia; Flavobacteriales; Flavobacteriaceae. The record is from RNAcentral.